UACGUAGGGUCCGAGCGUUGUUCGGAAUUACUGGGCGUAAAGGGCUCGUAGGCGGCCAACUAAGUCAGACGUGAAAUCCCUCGGCUUAACCGGGGAACUGCGUCUGAUACUGGAUGGCUUGAGAUUGGGAGAGGGAUGCGGAAUUCCAGGUGUAGCGGUGAAAUGCGCAGAUAUCAGGAAGAACACCGAUGGCGAAAGCAGCUCUCUGGGACGGUACUGACGCUGAGGCGCGAAAGCGUGGGGAGCGAACAGG
Molecule: ribosomal RNA, 253 nt
Filed under: uncultured bacterium
Lineage: Bacteria
Description: partial 16S ribosomal RNA
Rfam family: Bacterial small subunit ribosomal RNA
Source: RNAcentral